This 514-nucleotide ribosomal RNA is filed under the name uncultured bacterium. Its description in RNAcentral is "bacterial SSU rRNA". It matches the Rfam family "Bacterial small subunit ribosomal RNA", at positions 1 to 507 of the family's 1533-position model. The record is from RNAcentral.
UAACCAGCGUCAAGCAGAAACGACUAUAUAUUAUAAUUUUUGAAGUUUCUGCUUCACGCCAAAUCAAGUGCCAACACAAAGGGAGCUGAGUAUUGAAUGUUGAAUGCAGGAUAGCGGCGGACGGGUGAGUAACGCGUGGGCAACCUGCCUCAUACAGGGGGAUAACACAGGGAAACUUGUGCUAAUACCGCAUAAUAUCAUUGGGUGGCAUCACCUGAUGAUCAAAGGAGAAAUCCGGUAUGAGAUGGGCCCGCGUCCGAUUAGCUAGUUGGUGAGGUAACGGCUCACCAAGGCGACGAUCGGUAGCCGAACUGAGAGGUUGAUCGGCCACAUUGGGACUGAGACACGGCCCAGACUCCUACGGGAGGCAGCAGUGGGGAAUAUUGCGCAAUGGGGGAAACCCUGACGCAGCAACGCCGCGUGAAGGAAGAAGGCCUUCGGGUUGUAAACUUCUUUGAUUGGGGACGAAGGAAGUGACGGUACCCAAAAAACAAGCCACCGGCCUAACUACGUG